CUUCCUCAGUUACCCGCUGGUUAAGCAAAGUUCCUUCUUGGCUUACUACUUUUGCACCAGCAGAUGCUCUCACCAUGAAAGAGGAAGCCUGGAAUGCAUUCUCAGAAUGCAAAUCAGGUUACCGGUUUAAAUUUGUUGCUCGAGGUGAUUUUUUCUUAACUGCCUCAGCAGACAAGGUAAGCAUUUGCUUUCCAAAUUUGUAGUUAUGAAUCAUGAAUGUUGACAUGCACCAGUUGUUCUUAAGAAAAGGAAACUCUUUUUUUUUCAGAAAUUUAUUGUUAUGUUUUUUUGGACAAUAAUAUUUCCUUGACCAUCAGAUUAAGUGUGUAUGGGUGAUUUUGCAAAUCUUCUUGACCAUUUGAUUAAAUAUAUGUAGAGAACCUGAAUUGCAAAUAUUAAUUUGGGUGCAACCCAGAGGAAAUCAUUAGGUAUUGGUUUAAGCUCUGAUGUCAUUUUAAGCUGCAAGUGAAGAUUUAAGCAUUAUUAUCAAAGGUAAGUACUCUAUGUCUAACACAGUUCUACCAAAUUUUUGAUCCAAUCCAAAAUUAAUU
This is a long non-coding RNA of Juglans microcarpa x Juglans regia, 551 nucleotides long. RefSeq lists it as uncharacterized. NCBI's taxonomy places the organism in Eukaryota, Viridiplantae, Streptophyta, Magnoliopsida, Fagales, Juglandaceae. The transcript is spliced from 3 exons. The record is from RefSeq and is a predicted model, not a curated record.